AAUACGUUCUCGGGCCUUGUACACACCGCCCGUCACACCAUGGGAGUCGGUAACACCCGAAGUCUGUAGCCUGACGCAAGGGGGGAGCUGCCGAAGGUGGGAUAAGCGACUGGGGUGAAGUCGUAACAAGGUACC
RNAcentral lists this ribosomal RNA (135 nucleotides) under uncultured bacterium. Its description in RNAcentral is "partial 16S ribosomal RNA". It matches the Rfam family "Bacterial small subunit ribosomal RNA", at positions 1365 to 1500 of the family's 1533-position model. The record is from RNAcentral.